CCGCUGCCAUGUAAGAAGUGCCUUUUGCCUCCCACUAUCAUUCUGAGGCCUUCCCACCCAUGUGGAACUCUGAACUCACAAGAAAAUAAGGAAGACCUCCUGGAGGGAAAACAAGCAAGAACUGAAAACAAGUGCCGUCAGUGAAUGGAAUGAGAGACGGGGUUUCACCGUGUUAGCCAGGACGGUCUCAAUCUCCUGACCUCGUGAUCCGCCUGCCUU
This 219-nucleotide long non-coding RNA is filed under the name Homo sapiens (human). RNAcentral describes it as "HSALNT0366240". The record is from RNAcentral. Lineage: Eukaryota; Metazoa; Chordata; Mammalia; Primates; Hominidae.